This 406-nucleotide ribosomal RNA is filed under the name uncultured bacterium. RNAcentral describes it as "partial 16S ribosomal RNA". It matches the Rfam family "Bacterial small subunit ribosomal RNA", at positions 30 to 526 of the family's 1533-position model. The record is from RNAcentral.
AUUGAACGCUGGCGGCAGGCCUAACACAUGCAAGUCGAGCGAGCGGCGGACGGGUGAGUAAUGUCUGGGAAACUGCCUGAUGGAGGGGGAUAACUACUGGAACCGGUAGCUAAUACCGCAUACCAUCAGAUGUGCCCAGAUGGGUUUAGCUAGUAGGUGGGGUAAUGGCUCACCUAGGCGACGAUCCCUAGCUGGUCUGAGAGGAUGACCAGCCACACGGGAACUGAGACACGGUCCAGACUCCUACGGGAGGCAGCAGUGGGGAAUAUUGCACAAUGGGCGCAAGCCUGAUGGAGCCACGCCGCGUGUGUGAAGAAGGCCUUCGGGUUGUAAAGCACUUUCAUCGAGGAGGCGUUACUCGCAGAGAAAGCCCCGGCUAACUCCGUGCCAGCAGCCGCGGUAAUAC